Molecule: long non-coding RNA, 1253 nt
Filed under: Eutrema salsugineum
Lineage: Eukaryota; Viridiplantae; Streptophyta; Magnoliopsida; Brassicales; Brassicaceae
Description: long non-coding RNA (ESAL_LNC001349)
Source: RNAcentral
CAGCAUCGAUGCAAUUAACUAUUGUUUCCCUAAUAUAUCGAUACGUCUCGAAUCUCAAAAUAAUUUUGUUGGCUUGUAAUAUAUAUAAUACUGGGAAGAACUGAGUAUAAUUGGGACAACUGUGUAAUAGUAAGACUGGAUAACUAGGACAACUUAGUAACAUUGCAACAACUGAGUAAAAUUAGGACAACUGGAUAAAAUUGGGAGUGAAAGAAGAAGAAAAAGAAAAGAAGAAAAGAAGAAAGAAGAAAAAGAAAAUGGGGGAAGGAAAAAAUCCACAAAGAGAAACGGAAGAAAAAGAGAAAUUAGAAGAAUGAAAGGUAGCUCUCUCUCUUCUCUCUCUAGAUCCUUUAGAGAGUGAGAGCGAUGAGUUUUUUCUCUUUUCCAACUCAGAUCGGAUUUUAAUAAUUCCGACUUGUAUUAAUUUUUGUUUGUAAAAUAUCUCUUAUAGUGGGAUUUGUGAUUUCCGUUUUAAUGGAUUUUGCUGUCAUUAUAUCAGAUUUUCUUAUGCUUUAUCAGAGUUUUUUUGGGUUUAUGGUUUUAUGCUCUUCUUUGGUCGGAUUAAAAUCGGUUCUUCUUAUAUAUUAAAGACUAAUAAUCUUUGCUAAUCCUUAGUGGAGUGAAGAUUCUUUUCUUAAAGAGUUUAGAUUUCCGUCGUCAAAGCACAAGGUAUCUGGAGUUUGUUAUCACUCUUUUUCAGUUGAUGAUAGUGUCUUCUUCUCCAAAAAUUGGCAUCAUCCUCUCUUGGUUGGGAGUUGCUUCUCCCUUAUUACCUAGUUAAAGAGCCUUCUAUAGGCAAAGGGUAAGUGGCCUUGAGCUUCCGAUGAUCGGCACAAAGUUUUAUGGAGGCAAAAAGAUUUAGUUAGGGAUCUAGCUGUUGUUAGAGUUUUACAUGAUGGUUCUUGAGAAAGUGUUAGAUCCGAUGGAUUUCUUCAACAAAAUCUUUGGGUCGUCGGUUUCCGGCGAAGCUCUGCAUCGACGACGUGAUCGGCGGUAUCUUCUCACUGUCAACCAACACUCAACCCGAAAUUGCCACGUAUAACACACGUGUUUUGAGCUUUAUCAAUCCUUAUCCCCAUUGUUUAUGAGUUUAUAUUGAGCUGAAAGUUACAAUAUUUUGGGUCUCGAUCCAUGUAUAACUUGUCUAUUUUAGGCUUUGUUUUAAGGGAAUCUAAUAGACAUAAAAAAAAAGGAAGAAUGAAAGAUAAUAUAGGCAAAUCAUAAAAAAAUUAGGUAUCUGUCCGCGUUGCGCG